Molecule: ribosomal RNA, 500 nt
Filed under: uncultured bacterium
Lineage: Bacteria
Description: partial 16S ribosomal RNA
Rfam family: Bacterial small subunit ribosomal RNA
Source: RNAcentral
GAUGAACGCUGGCGGCAUGCCUUACACAUGCAAGUCGAACGGCAGCGCGGACUUCGGUCUGGCGGCGAGUGGCGAACGGGUGAGUAAUACAUCGGAACGUACCCUGUUGUGGGGGAUAACUAGUCGAAAGAUUAGCUAAUACCGCAUACGACCUGAGGGUGAAAGUGGGGGACCGCAAGGCCUCACGCAGCAGGAGCGGCCGAUGUCUGAUUAGCUAGUUGGUGGGGUAAAGGCCCACCAAGGCGACGAUCAGUAGCUGGUCUGAGAGGACGAUCAGCCACACUGGGACUGAGACACGGCCAAGACUCCUACGGGAGGCAGCAGUGGGGAAUUUUGGACAAUGGGGGCAACCCUGAUUCAGCAAUGCCGCGUGUGUGAAGAAGGCCUUCGGGUUGUAAAGCACUUUUGUCCGGAAAGAAAUCGCGCUGGUUAAUACCUGGCGUGGAUGACGGUACCGGAAGAAUAAGCACCGGCUAACUACGUGCCAGCAGCCGCCGUAA